GGAUAUCCCGCCGGUGCAUAAUAUCUCGGUGUUCUUCCCAAGAUGCGCCGAGAAAUCGGCUGAGUACGUGCUGGGGCUCAUCAAGGCCCAGAAUGAGGACAUCCACACGGCUGCGUGGAAGGUGGUUUCAUGCGGCGCCGAAGACAACGGUCUCAGGCUCAACCUGGGGAUCGAUGAGGCGUCGUAUGUCAGCAUCAAGAGGGCCGGAUUCACAAUCAACUUCCGUUAUAGUUAUGUUACGGUGCGGCCAUGGCGGCAUAAGACGACAGGCAGCAAGCAGUCAGAGUCCCAAGACAUACAAGUCGACGAGGCUACUGACUCCACUGCUGCUCCAGCGACCGAGUCGACCAUGGCGCCACUGAAAGAUCAGCUACCGGAAUUAGCACAGGCACCAGCUCUUGUGAGUGCUCCCGGGCCAAGUGCCACUGACUACGUGCGCACCACACAGGAGCUCCUAGCGGACAUAGGCAGGCUCGAACUCGACAGAGAGGGCGAGGGUGAGGCACGGCUCUCGAACAUCGAGGACGAGCCCCAACUAUGAGCCCAACAGCGCUAACAGUAGCCCAGGUCAACUUGCAUCAUGCGGUGGCCGCCUCGGCGAUCAUUGCAAGCAGGUUUGCCACGGAGGACCUGGGAAUCCUACUGAUACAGGAACCGUGGACCUACAGAGGCCAGGUGAGGGGCCUCAAUCAUAACAACAAUAAGAAUUUCUUACACAGGAUCUGGGCGCGGUCCAAGCUACCUUAAGGGUCAACGGGAAGGAACUGGAGGUGGUCUUAGCUGCAGCCUACUUUCCGGGGGAUAACGCCAACGUGCCGCCUCUUGAGGUACAGCAGCUGCUGGAAUUUUGCCGCAGGAAACGACUUCCGGCGAUUCUCGGCUGCGAUGCGAAAGCCCACAAUAUAGAGUGGGGCAGCUCGGACAUAAACCGUAGGGGAAUACUAUUAUAUUCCGCGUAAGGGUAAAAAAUGCCCUAGUGGAAAGCUGUACGGGAAAUACGUCAAUCAACGCAGUAAGAAAAGGAAGACAACAUACCUUGAACAAAACACACCACCACCUGCUAGUACUAAGACUAAUCCUUCCACCAAAAAUUACGAAGUUCCUGAAAUUGAUUUUACGAUAUGUAGAGCAUUAAAAGCAACUCUCAGCAGAAGCAUUGCAGAUUGGAAUGAAGUCAGAGAUAAAUGGCAAAAGACAUUUAGCUUGCGACAGAAUGACUUAAAGGAACUGACCAACAUUGAUUUUCUCCAAGCCUGGCCCAAAUAUUCUGAUUCGCGGGCUCCUGACUUGAUAAAACUUGACUUUAAGAUCAUGUACCCUGACAAGGAGGAUUGUUUGUAUUCGAAAUGGGAAAUAUUUACGGAAAAAAUUCAACGAUUUUAUGAAACUAAUGUACACAACGAUUUCUGCAAACAGCUCUUUUCUCUUGCUAAAGCUUCAACGAACAAAGAUACGCAAGACUACAUUCUUACAACGCUGCUGAAUGGAGUUCUUCCACCUUCAUCAAGGUUUCAAAGUUCGUGCGGAAAGCUAAGAAAGAAAGCAACAAUAGCAGACUGGCAACAAAGCUUUGUUUUUCGAUUAACUUCAAUCAACGAUUACGAAAGGAAAAUUACUGAGUUGAUAAGUAUGUACUAUUCUGUAGGAAUGACAAUACAGCCUUUUAUAAUUGUGGAAGGAAUAGCUGAGGGUGAUAUAAGAGGAUUUUAUAUAUAUUUUGAUAAAACAUUGUAUAACUUUGAGUCGUUUCUAGAAUGCGUAGAUAUCUGUUUCAAAAUCUUUCACACUCUUUGCCUAAAAUAUCCUCAGGCAUGCGAAACUUCUUGGGUUUUCUUACAACAGUUUUUUUUUUUUUAAUUUAUACUGAAUAUGACUACAAGUCGGCAAAUUUAACGUCUCUUUUGAAUUUCAUGGCAUAUAAUUAAUUGCUUUAAAAUGUUUAUUUGCUUCAAGAGCCACAAAAAAUGUGCAGAAAUUUAUACCUUAAUAUAUCAUUUUAAAGUAGAUCAUAAGCUUUCUACGAAACUUUUACGACUGCAAUGCAAGCAAGAUAACUGUAAUCAAUUAUUUACAAAAAUUUAAAAACACAUACGAACCAAACGUAACUCCAACUGAAGCUAUAACGAUACCAAUUUUAAGUAAUAAUUUAAGUACGGAAACAGAACCUCAAGAUGUUGAUAAUUCAUCAAUGCAAAAUAUUGUUAAUGAAAGUAAAAAUCUAAAGAAAAAGGCACUGUAUUUAUCUUUAAGUUUGUAUACUCAAAACAAUUUGCCCAGGAAACAAGUAAUCGAUAUUCAGACUAUGGUAUCUUCUUUGCUUUUGUCCGUAUCCUUUACUAUUCAGCAUGUAUUAAGCUCAGAGGCUAUCAGUGAUGUCAAUGUAGACUUACAAUUAUUGCUAGAGUUUUGCAAGAACCCGUUUCAGGAAAUAAGUUCCGAAUAUAUGCUUUUUUAGAUAUUAAAGGAGCUUAAUUUAUAUGAACAUCCAAAGACUAUAAUCAUAAAAAAAUCUGUUACUGAAACAACAAUACACGGGAACCCAACCUUUACUCUUAAAUCUUUCGACAUAUAUAUUAUGCCUUUAAAUUUUCAGUUCAAAGCUAUUUUUGAGAUUCCAUGCCUUGGAGAGCACAUUACAGAACACAGAAAGAUACUUGAAAGAAAGUAGUUUACAGAACUUUGUUAGCGGCGAAAUAUUUAAAUCACGAAAAGAUUCAAUCUGAGCUAGUUAUACCAUAUAUUCUUUAUCUUGAUGAUUUCCAAAUCAACAAUGCGCUUGGCAGUCAUACUUACUCGAUAUGUGGAUGCUAUUUUAGUUUUCCGUCAAUGCCAAAACAUCUGUUAUCAAAACUAGAAUACAUUUUCCAUGGAGCUUUCAUUUCAACAAAAACAGUUAAAUGCAGUGGUGUUGAGAACUCGUUUUAUUACCUUGUAGACGAGUUAAAGCUUCUUGAAGAAGGCAUUGAAAUUUUAACAAAAAAUGGAAAUAAAA
Molecule: unclassified non-coding RNA, 2992 nt
Filed under: Rhagoletis pomonella (apple maggot)
Lineage: Eukaryota; Metazoa; Arthropoda; Insecta; Diptera; Tephritidae
Description: uncharacterized LOC118734325, transcript variant X1
Source: RNAcentral